RNAcentral lists this long non-coding RNA (510 nucleotides) under Actinia tenebrosa (Australian red waratah sea anemone). RNAcentral describes it as "uncharacterized LOC116296762, transcript variant X2". The record is from RNAcentral. Lineage: Eukaryota; Metazoa; Cnidaria; Anthozoa; Actiniaria; Actiniidae.
UCUGGCGAUCAAAACCCUAUUCAUGCCCAUUCAGAUUUUGAAAAAGAUAAAUGAACCACCUAACUGGAAACAAUGAAAAACUAUACCGAAGCCAAUAAAUAAAGGAUUGGAGUUCAGCAAAGAUUUCUCUCCUUCAGAAGUAGCUAGAAUCCUGGUUGGUCAAAAACAAUUUUGCACCCGAGAUGAAAGAAAAGUUUGCUGCCGACGGUCUUGACGGCAAGGAGCUUAUUGGAUUGUUUAAAGACGAAGCAGAAAUGAUGCAAUUUCUGCCUGUGUUUAAAGAAAGGAAACUUUUUAAGACUCUAAUAGGAAAUUUCUCGAUGACGACAAGGACAGCGAGCCUCCUAUCUCCACAAAUAACUCUCCAGCUAGUGACUCUCNCGCUCGAAUCACAGAAAAUAAUGUAGAAGAANCUCCACUCAUCUUCUGGUGGUUCUAGUAACAGUUUGGUCGUUACCCCUCAGUGGACACCUCCAAGCCGUGAGAGUGUAAAUAGAGAAAUAGAGGAGG